CAUCAAGACAGAGGCUUGUUUGUGCAAAUAGCCUGGGAUCAGGCUAUGAUUCCUGGAUCAUUUCUCUCCUUGCGGAAGUUGGGGGACAAGAGCGAACUCUGUGACAUCUCGGGGAUGCAGCAGGUUCCUGUGGCCCCUAUGUCGAGGGGAAGGACUGAGAGGCAGCAGGGAGAGGAUGUGAAGCAGGACCUGGCGACGAAAGGGGGGCCCUACCGAUACCCCCACUCAGGAGGCUCAGAUGUGUGAAACAAAUCCCAAACCCUCUGUUAUGAAUUUUUUUUGUUGGCACGCGCAGGAGGAAGUGAUGGACUGGUUCUUUCUGGAGAGUGGCUGCCAACCCCAAGCAGCCCCCUGCGGCCCCCCAGCCCCUUGACCAGCGUUUGUUCCUAGCAGAAGGGCUGUUUGUGUGCUGUUUGGGCUCCUUUUCUUUGUUUUAAGUGUGGCUACAAUCAGCUGCUGAGAGGCUCACUGCUCCGGUUCGUUCCCUGCCAAUUUCACUGAGAGCUGGCACCACAGGCGGCUCCGGAGGCAACGAAGAGAGGCUGGAGAGGAUAGAUCAUGGAGGGGAAAAAAUGGACACAUGCCAUCGACGGAGCGGCGAGGCUGCCAGAAUGCCAGCAGGCAGCAUGGGGCCAAAAAAAAACCACCCCACACAGAGCAGAAAAGAAGCUGGCAGCCCAUCUCGAAGCAGGCGGUGGCUGAGUUGGGAGAGGUGCCAUGGAGGACGGGCUGCAGCGAGCAGGCAAUGCGGGAAAGAGAGAGAGAAAAACAGACAGACAAAUUGGCAGAGGCAGCACAGGUAGCAGACGGCGAAUCGGGAGAGGAAACAGAUGCAGCCCGGCUCCAAAGGGAUCCCUGUUCAUCGCUGGCUCUCACUGGGUCCAUCACACUGAGGAUGCCAUUUCUCCCACCGAGAGAGUACAGAGCUUUGACUGUAGGAUAGCUACGCAGCAGUCCAGUGAGAACCUCCACCGUCCCCCCAUGAGCCCUCUCCCACUGCACGCACUGAACUGCAUCAGCGUCCGCUGGCUUCGGGAGCUCGCAUACGCUGCUCUGAGAGAUGAGGCCAGGCCAGGUGCUUUCCCCUUCUCGUAGGAAUAUUCCUGGAUUUUGGCUCUUUCACUGGGAGGUGUAGGAGGAACCUCCGAGGCCUCAGCAGAGGAUGUCUUACAACAGCCAGGCGGCAGUGCCCGAUGUGUCUCUCCGCACGUCGCCAGCUGGGUGUAACGGUGCACGUGCGGCGUGAGCACACGGCACUGGGCCGCGGAGUUAGCAGUGUGCUGGGAGGAGGGCGGGUUAUGUGCUUGCAGGGAUUCAUCCAUUGCUGCUCAGCUAUUGCCCGGGACACUUGGGACAGCCCUCUGGAACAUGGGAAUGAGCACGAAGGCCUCCUGGAAUUUCACAAACAGCUCCUUUGGCACCGGGUCAUGGCUCAGACCAGCACAGGGGCCUGGUGAGAACAUGUCAGGGCGCGUCCAGGGAAGGGGAAAGCAAUGGUGAGUCGUUAUUUAUAUGGCACCAUCACUAUACACGGAGCUUUACAAACCCUGACAUCACAAGGGGCCCCAGCAAGGAACUCACAGUCGGACUGACAGCACGCCAGGCGGGGAUGGCCAGCUGCGAGGAGUAGUGGGCUCACAGCUGGGAUCUGAAAGGAGGGUCACAGAACCCGGGAUGAUCAUCAUCCUUUGUUAUUUGCUUCUCAGUAGUGUCUGGAGACCCCAAACUGAGACUGGGCCCCAUCGGGCUAGGGGCUGCACAAGUCUCAGUUCUGGUCCCGGUCUCUCGGAGCUUACAUAAGACAGAUAAAGGAGAGGGGACACUGAGGCAUGGAGCACCCUGGGUAACACAGGAGGUCAGUGGCAGAGAACCCACAUCUUCUGAGCCCCAGUCCAGAGCCCUAUCCACUGGACCACGCUGCCUCUCACAGACUCAACUCUGAUUCCUGAGCCACGCAUACAAAACUGCUCCCACCUCCACUCCAUGUUGCCAGAUCGAAUUCCACUGUCCACAGCACUGGGGUGGCCAUGCAGAUACCCCCGUGUGUUCAGUUCUCAGCCCUCUGCUGCACCUCUCACAUCAGGCCCGGCUCUGA
Molecule: long non-coding RNA, 2095 nt
Organism: Gopherus agassizii (Agassiz's desert tortoise)
Lineage: Eukaryota; Metazoa; Chordata; Testudines; Testudinidae
Source: Ensembl